This 227-nucleotide unclassified non-coding RNA is filed under the name soil metagenome. RNAcentral's name for it is "partial internal transcribed spacer 1". The record is from RNAcentral.
ACACUUUGUUCUUUUUUUUGUUGUUUCGGCUUUUAACCAAAGCUGAACCGCAAAAAAAACAAACAUCCAAUUACCCAACAUUUUGAAGCAGUGCUUGUAGGAUAAAACGUUUUUUACUAAAAAACGUUUGUCCUCAAUUUCUCACCUAAUUUUUUUCACAACAAAACCCCAAACAACCAUUUAAACUAUUUUUGAAACUCAAAAAAUAACUACUAACGUUAACCAAA